This 62-nucleotide microRNA precursor is filed under the name Mus caroli (Ryukyu mouse). RNAcentral's name for it is "microRNA 6909 (MGP_CAROLIEiJ_G0007033.1)". The record is from RNAcentral. Lineage: Eukaryota; Metazoa; Chordata; Mammalia; Rodentia; Muridae.
GAUAACAGGGGGGAUGGAAUGGACACUGCGGAGAACUAUGUGCCUUCCCUGGCCUCCCACAG